This 468-nucleotide ribosomal RNA is filed under the name uncultured bacterium. RNAcentral describes it as "bacterial SSU rRNA". It matches the Rfam family "Bacterial small subunit ribosomal RNA", at positions 29 to 507 of the family's 1533-position model. The record is from RNAcentral.
AGUGAACGCUGGCGGCGUGCUUAACACAUGCAAGUCGAACGAGAACGGGUUAUAGCUUGCUAUAAUUGUCAGCUAAGUGGCGCACGGGUGAGUAAUGUAUAGGUAAUAUGCCUCUUACUAAGGGAUAACAAAUGGAAACGUUUGCUAAUACCUUAUACUCCUUAUUAACAGAAGUUAAUAAGGGAAAGAUUAUUGGUAAGAGAUUAGCCUGUAUUGUAUCAGUUAGUUGGUGGGGUAAUGGCUUACCAAGACUAUGACACAUAACUGGUUUGAGAGGAUGAUCAGUCACACUGGAACUGAGACACGGUCCAGACUCCUACGGGAGGCAGCAGUGGGGAAUAUUGCACAAUGGACGAAAGUCUGAUGCAGCAACGCCGCGUGGAGGAUGACACAUUUCGGUGCGUAAACUCCUUUUAUAUGAGAAGAUAAUGACGGUAUUAUAUGAAUAAGACACCGGCUAACUCCGUG